This 761-nucleotide ribosomal RNA is filed under the name Prevotella melaninogenica. Its description in RNAcentral is "bacterial SSU rRNA". It matches the Rfam family "Bacterial small subunit ribosomal RNA", at positions 28 to 776 of the family's 1533-position model. The record is from RNAcentral. Lineage: Bacteria; Pseudomonadati; Bacteroidota; Bacteroidia; Bacteroidales; Prevotellaceae.
GAUGAACGCUAGCUACAGGCUUAACACAUGCAAGUCGAGGGGAAACGGCAUUUAGUGCUUGCACUGAAUGGACGUCGACCGGCGCACGGGUGAGUAACGCGUAUCCAACCUUCCCAUUACUGUGGGAUAACCUGCCGAAAGGCAGACUAAUACCGCAUAGUCUUCGAUGACGGCAUCAGAUUUGAAGUAAAGAUUUAUCGGUAAUGGAUGGGGAUGCGUCUGAUUAGCUUGUUGGCGGGGUAACGGCCCACCAAGGCAACGAUCAGUAGGGGUUCUGAGAGGAAGGUCCCCCACAUUGGAACUGAGACACGGUCCAAACUCCUACGGGAGGCAGCAGUGAGGAAUAUUGGUCAAUGGACGAGAGUCUGAACCAGCCAAGUAGCGUGCAGGAUGACGGCCCUAUGGGUUGUAAACUGCUUUUGUAUGGGGAUAAAGUCAAUCACGUGUGAUUGUUUGCAGGUACCAUACGAGUAAGGACCGGCUAAUUCCGUGCCAGCAGCCGCGGUAAUACGGAAGGUCCGGGCGUUAUCCGGAUUUAUUGGGUUUAAAGGGAGCGUAGGCCGGAGAUUAAGUGUGUUGUGAAAUGUAGACGCUCAACGUCUGACUUGCAGCGCAUACUGGUUUCCUUGAGUACGCACAACGUUGGCGGAAUUCGUCGUGUAGCGGUGAAAUGCUUAGAUAUGACGAAGAACUCCGAUUGCGAAGGCAGCUGACGGGAGCGCAACUGACGCUUAAGCUCGAAGGUGCGGGUAUCGAACAGG